RNAcentral lists this ribosomal RNA (484 nucleotides) under uncultured bacterium. RNAcentral describes it as "partial 16S ribosomal RNA". It matches the Rfam family "Bacterial small subunit ribosomal RNA", at positions 30 to 507 of the family's 1533-position model. The record is from RNAcentral.
AUUGAACGCUGGCGGCAGGCCUAACACAUGCAAGUCGAGCGGAUGAAGGGAGCUUGCUCCUGGAUUCAGCGGCGGACGGGUGAGUAAUGCCUAGGAAUCUGCCUGGUAGUGGGGGAUAACGUCCGGAAACGGGCGCUAAUACCGCAUACGUCCUGAGGGAGAAAGUGGGGGAUCUUCGGACCUCACGCUAUCAGAUGAGCCUAGGUCGGAUUAGCUAGUUGGUGGGGUAAAGGCCUACCAAGGCGACGAUCCGUAACUGGUCUGAGAGGAUGAUCAGUCAGACUGGAACUGAGACACGGUCCAGAGUCCUACGGGAGGCAGCAGUGGGGAAUAUUGGACAAUGGGCGAAAGCCUGAUCCAGCCAUGCCGCGUGUGUGAAGAAGGUCUUCGGAUUGUAAAGCACUUUAAGUUGGGAGGAAGGGCAGUAAGUUAAUACCUUGCUGUUUUGACGUUACCAACAGAAUAAGCACCGGCUAACUUCGUG